GUUAUAGGGUCAAGCGAAUAAGUGCAUGUGGUGGAUGCCUUGGCGAUUACAGGCGAUGAAGGACGCGAUAGCCUGCGAAAAGUUGUGGGGAGCUGGCAAAUAAGCAUUGAUCCACAAAUGUCCGAAUGGGGAAACCCGGCCUUUUAGGUCAUCCUAGACUGAAUACAUAGGUCUAGCGAAGCGAACGCGGCGAACUGAAACAUCUAAGUAGCUGCAGGAAAAGAAAUCAACCGAGAUUCCCAAAGUAGUGGCGAGCGAAAUGGGACCAGCCUUCAAGAUUUAGCACCGGUGUUAUCAAAACGGAAUGGAAAGUCCGGCCAUAGUGGGUGAUAGCCCCGUAUGAGAAAACCCUGGUGUGGAACUAAGCUUGAGAAAAGUAGGGCGGGACACGUGAAAUCCUGUCUGAAGAUGGGGGGACCAUCCUCCAAGGCUAAAUACUCGUAAUCGACCGAUAGUGAACCAGUACCGUGAGGGAAAGGCGAAAAGAACCCCGGGAGGGGAGUGAAAUAGAUCCUGAAACCGCAUGCAUACAAACAGUCGGAGCCUCGUAAGGGGUGACGGCGUACCUUUUGUAUAAUGGGUCAGCGACUUACAUUCAGUGGCGAGCUUAACCGAAUAGGGAAGGCGUAGCGAAAGCGAGUCCGAAUAGGGCGUUCAGUCGCUGGGUGUAGACCCGAAACCAAGUGAUCUAUCCAUGGCCAGGUUGAAGGUGCGGUAACACGUACUGGAGGACCGAACCCACUAACGUUGAAAAGUUAGGGGAUGAGCUGUGGAUAGGGGUGAAAGGCUAAACAAACUUGGAAAUAGCUGGUUCUCUCCGAAAACUAUUUAGGUAGUGCCUCGUGUAUCACCUUCGGGGUAGAGCACUGUCAUGGUUGAGGGGUCCAUUGCGGAUUACCUCGCCAUAGCAAACUCCGAAUACCGAAGAGUGCAAUCACGGGAGACAGACAUCGGGUGCUAACGUCCGGUGUCAAGAGGGAAACAACCCAGACCGCCAGCUAAGGUCCCUAAAUAUUGCUAAGUGGGAAACGAAGUGGGAAGGCUAAAACAGUCAGGAGGUUGGCUUAGAAGCAGCCACCCUUUAAAGAAAGCGUAAUAGCUCACUGAUCGAGUCGUCCUGCGCGGAAGAUGUAACGGGGCUAAGCAAUAUACCGAAGCUGCGGAUGCGAGCUUGCUCGCAUGGUAGGAGAGCGUUCUGUAAGCCUGUGAAGGUGUCUUGUAAAGGAUGCUGGAGGUAUCAGAAGUGCGAAUGCUGACAUGAGUAGCGAUAAAGGGGGUGAAAGGCCCCCUCGCCGUAAGCCCAAGGUUUCCUACGCAACGUUCAUCGGCGUAGGGUGAGUCGGCCCCUAAGGCGAGGCAGAGAUGCGUAGCUGAUGGGAAGCAGGUUAAUAUUCCUGCACCGUCGUAUGAUGCGAUGGGGGGACGGAUCGCGGAAGGUUGUCCGGGUGUUGGAAGUCCCGGUCCCUGCAGUGGAGAAGGCGCUUAGGCAAAUCCGGGCGCGUAAUUCAAGGCUGUGGGGCGAGCGAACUUGUUCGCGAAGCAAUUGGAAGUGGUUCCAAGAAAAGCCUCUAAGCUUCAGUCAUACGAGACCGUACCGCAAACCGACACAGGUGGGCGAGAUGAGUAUUCUAAGGCGCUUGAGAGAACUCGGGAGAAGGAACUCGGCAAAUUGGUACCGUAACUUCGGGAUAAGGUACGCCCUUGUAGCUUGACUGGCCUGCGCCAGAAGGGUGAAGGGGUUGCAAUAAACUGGUGGCUGCGACUGUUUAAUAAAAACACAGCACUCUGCAAACACGAAAGUGGACGUAUAGGGUGUGACGCCUGCCCGGUGCCGGAAGAUUAAAUGAUGGGGUGCAAGCUCUUGAUUGAAGUCCCGGUAAACGGCGGCCGUAACUAUAACGGUCCUAAGGUAGCGAAAUUCCUUGUCGGGUAAGUUCCGACCUGCACGAAUGGCGUAACGAUGGCCACACUGUCUCCUCCCGAGACUCAGCGAAGUUGAAGUGUUUGUGAUGAUGCAAUCUACCCGCGGCUAGACGGAAAGACCCCAUGAACCUUUACUGUAGCUUUGCAUUGGACUUUGAACCGGUCUGUGUAGGAUAGGUGGGAGGCUUUGAAGCAGGAACGCUAGUUUCUGUGGAGCCGUCCUUGAAAUACCACCCUGGCUUGUUUGAGGUUCUAACCUAGGUCCGUAAUCCGGAUCGGGGACAGUGCAUGGUAGGCAGUUUGACUGGGGCGGUCUCCUCCCAAAGUAUAACGGAGGAGUACGAAGGUACGCUAGGUACGGUCGGAAAUCGUGCUGAUAGUGCAAUGGCAAAAGCGUGCUUAACUGCGAGACUGACAAGUCGAGCAGGUGCGAAAGCAGGUCAUAGUGAUCCGGUGGUUCUGUAUGGAAGGGCCAUCGCUCAACGGAUAAAAGGUACUCUGGGGAUAACAGGCUGAUACCGCCCAAGAGUUCAUAUCGACGGCGGUGUUUGGCACCUCGAUGUCGGCUCAUCUCAUCCUGGGGCUGUAGCCGGUCCCAAGGGUAUGGCUGUUCGCCAUUUAAAGAGGUACGUGAGCUGGGUUUAAAACGUCGUGAGACAGUUUGGUCCCUAUCUGCCGUGGGCGUUGGAAGUUUGAAGGGGGCUGCUCCUAGUACGAGAGGACCGGAGUGGACGAACCUCUGGUGUACCGGUUGUCACGCCAGUGGCAUCGCCGGGUAGCUAUGUUCGGAAGAGAUAACCGCUGAAAGCAUCUAAGCGGGAAACUCGCCUUAAGAUGAGACUUCCCUAGGAACUCGAUUCCUUUGAAGGGUCGUUCAAGACCAGGACGUUGAUAGGUCAGGUGUGGAAGCGCAGUAAUGCGUUAAGCUAACUGAUACUAAUUGCCCGUAAGGCUUGAUCCUAUAACC
This 2890-nucleotide ribosomal RNA is filed under the name Pandoraea sputorum. RNAcentral describes it as "bacterial LSU rRNA". It matches the Rfam family "Bacterial large subunit ribosomal RNA". The record is from RNAcentral. Lineage: Bacteria; Pseudomonadati; Pseudomonadota; Betaproteobacteria; Burkholderiales; Burkholderiaceae.